Molecule: ribosomal RNA, 404 nt
Filed under: uncultured bacterium
Lineage: Bacteria
Description: bacterial SSU rRNA
Rfam family: Bacterial small subunit ribosomal RNA
Source: RNAcentral
UAAGGAAUCUUCCACAAUGGACGAAAGUCUGAUGGAGCAAUGCCGCGUGCAGGAUGACGGCCUUCGGGUUGUAAACUGCUUUUAUAUGGGAAGAUUAUGACGGUACCAUAUGAAUAAGGACCGGCUAACUACGUGCCAGCAGCCGCGGUAAUACGUAGGGUCCAAGCGUUAUCCGGAAUCACUGGGCGUAAAGCGUGUGUAGGCGGGUGUUUAAGUGAAAUGCGAAAUCUUGUGGCUCAACCAUAUAGACUGUGUUUCAUACUGGAUACCUUGAGGAUGGCAGAGGCAAGUGGAAUUGAUAGUGUAGCAGUGAAAUGCGUAGAUAUUAUCAGGAACACCAAUGGCGAAGGCAGCUUGCUGGGCCAUAUCUGACGCUGAGACACGAAAGCGUGGGGAGCGAACAG